This 407-nucleotide ribosomal RNA is filed under the name uncultured bacterium. RNAcentral describes it as "bacterial SSU rRNA". It matches the Rfam family "Bacterial small subunit ribosomal RNA", at positions 94 to 518 of the family's 1533-position model. The record is from RNAcentral.
AGUGGCGGACGGGUGAGUAACGCGUGGGUAACCUGCCUUGUACUGGGGGAUAACACUUAGAAAUAGGUGCUAAUACCGCAUAAUCAUAAGAUCUCGCAUGAGAAGUUUAUGGAAAACUCCGGUGGUACAAGGAUGGACCCGCGUCUGAUUAGUUAGUUGUGGGGUAAUGGCCUACCAAGACGACGAUCAGUAGCCGGCCUGAGAGGGUGACCGGCCACAUUGGGACUGAGACACGGCCCAAACUCCUACGGGAGGCAGCAGUGGGGAAUAUUGCACAAUGGGGGAAACCCUGAUGCAGCGACGCCGCGUGAGUGAAGAAGUAUUUCGGUACGUAAAGCUCUAUCAGCAGGGAAGAAAAUGACGGUACCUGACUAAGAAGCCCCGGCUAACUACGUGCCAGCCGCGGC